GUUCACAGGGAUCGCCCCCCAUCAGCGCGUUGCGCCCAUGGGGGCGUUUGGC
This 52-nucleotide small RNA is filed under the name Boseongicola aestuarii. RNAcentral describes it as "ffh sRNA". It matches the Rfam family "ffh sRNA". Lineage: Bacteria; Pseudomonadati; Pseudomonadota; Alphaproteobacteria; Rhodobacterales; Paracoccaceae. The record is from Rfam by way of RNAcentral.